AGCAACGCGAUGAAGGAGCCAAACAUCAAUGGUGAACUCUCAGAGAGCCGAUGGUUGCUGUGAAUCGGCAGUUUGCCUGAUGUGGAGCACUCCCGAGUGGCUGAUUGAACCGCUAAGAAGUAGAUCAGCACGGUUGACCCGUUAUCCACUAGAGUCGAUAUGGCAGAUCAUGCCCAUCGACUCGCCAAGGCUGUCAGCGCGAGCCGACAGCGAAUGAGGGUGGCACCACGUACCCCACGUCCCUCUG
This 247-nucleotide non-coding RNA is filed under the name Thermoactinomyces vulgaris. RNAcentral's name for it is "T-box sequence". It matches the Rfam family "T-box leader". Rfam says of the family: Uncharged tRNA acts as the effector for transcription antitermination of genes in the T-box leader family. T-boxes are found upstream of many aminoacyl-tRNA synthetase genes and some amino acid biosynthetic genes usually in Gram-positive bacteria. The record is from RNAcentral. Lineage: Bacteria; Bacillati; Bacillota; Bacilli; Caryophanales; Thermoactinomycetaceae.